GGAGGAUUCGCCUAGAGGCCUAGGGCGCCGCACUGCUAAUGCGGUUUCGGGGCAACCCGAUCGAGGGUUCGAAUCCCUCAUCCUCCG
This 87-nucleotide transfer RNA is filed under the name Nocardiopsis halophila. RNAcentral describes it as "tRNA-Ser". It matches the Rfam family "tRNA". Rfam says of the family: Transfer RNA (tRNA) molecules are approximately 80 nucleotides in length. Their secondary structure includes four short double-helical elements and three loops (D, anti-codon, and T loops). The record is from RNAcentral. RNAcentral also lists the same sequence under 1 other name. Lineage: Bacteria; Bacillati; Actinomycetota; Actinomycetes; Streptosporangiales; Nocardiopsidaceae.